Erigeron canadensis is the source of this 753-nucleotide long non-coding RNA. RefSeq lists it as uncharacterized. The transcript is spliced from 2 exons. Lineage: Eukaryota; Viridiplantae; Streptophyta; Magnoliopsida; Asterales; Asteraceae. The record is from RefSeq and is a predicted model, not a curated record.
UUCUGCAAUAAUAUUAUACUGUAAAAAGCUUUUAUAACUUCCUAAAUAUUCUCAUUGCAUGUGAGAGUAUUAUUUUUACGAGGUGGGGGGUGGCGAGCACCGAUGAGGAAUUGAAGCAGGUCCACGUGUAUUCACCAACUCAUUAUGGAAACAUAUGUUAACACUUUUGAUAUGUGCCACGCAUAAAGUGUUCACUAAAUGUUGAAUACAACGUCAGCCGAACGUCUUUUGAGAAAUUUGAAACAACAGGCCUCUGUUGAAACUUAGAAAAAGGAUCGAGGCAGGGGUGAGCGUAAUGGGUGGUGGAGGCGAGCCUCCAGCGAGAGCUUUUCAGUGGAGCUCUGAAAAAAGACAAAAACUAGCGAGGCUUCAUGGAAACUAUGGAAGGCCUAAAUUGGAGAGCCCUAGCUCAUUCCUGCGAAGCUUUCCCCUAGUAAGCCUAGCGAGCUUUAGAUAAAGACAAAACCGGAUUGAGCCUCCUUUUGCCUUUAGUAUUAGUCAUAUAACUUCAACAUACCCGUUAGUACUUGAAGCUCUUGCAAUGGUCAUAGAUUUGUCAUAUAUAUCGACGCGGAGGUUCAUAACUAUAUAUCCUUUUCUCCAAGAAAUUUACUCGUUUAUAUUCAAGAAAAUGUGGUCACGGUGUGGUUCGUUUAUGUAAUUCUUGUUGUUCUAUUACAAAGGAUUGUCUAUCUUCAGCUUUGUGGAUUGUUAUAAAACCAUUUCUUCUUUAUUAAUAUGGCUACUUAUUUA